GGGUGAUCAAUAAGUCUACUAACUCGGGUCCAAACAUUAUUUUUUUCAAAUUGAUUAAGUUUCUCUUGCAUAGCAAUCAUCCAGUUAAAAUCAAUUUUAGCCUCUUCUAUACUUUUAAGUUCAAUUUGUGAGACAAAAGUAAGGUAAUCAAAAGUAUCUUUGAAUAAAGCUCUAGUUCUUAUCCCUUAUGAAGGAUCACCAAUUAUAAGAUCUUUUGGAUGGUUAUAUACAUAUC
Molecule: long non-coding RNA, 235 nt
Filed under: Elaeis guineensis (African oil palm)
Lineage: Eukaryota; Viridiplantae; Streptophyta; Magnoliopsida; Arecales; Arecaceae
Description: long non-coding RNA (EGUI_LNC052099)
Source: RNAcentral